RNAcentral lists this ribosomal RNA (468 nucleotides) under uncultured bacterium. RNAcentral's name for it is "partial 16S ribosomal RNA". It matches the Rfam family "Bacterial small subunit ribosomal RNA", at positions 28 to 507 of the family's 1533-position model. The record is from RNAcentral.
GACGAACGCUGGCGGCGUGCUUAACACAUGCAAGUCGAACGGAAAGGCCCUGCUUUUGUGGGGUGCUCGAGUGGCGAACGGGUGAGUAACACGUGAGUAACCUGCCCUUGACUUUGGGAUAACUUCAAGAAACUGGGGCUAAUACCGGAUAGGAGCUCCUGCUGCAUGGUGGGGGUUGGAAAGUUUCGGCGGUUGGGGAUGGACUCGCGGCUUAUCAGCUUGUUGGUGGGGUAGUGGCUUACCAAGGCUUUGACGGGUAGCCGGCCUGAGAGGGUGACCGGCCACAUUGGGACUGAGAUACGGCCCAGACUCCUACGGGAGGCAGCAGUGGGGAAUAUUGCACAAUGGGCGGAAGCCUGAUGCAGUAACGCCGCGUGCGGGAUGACGGCCUUCGGGUUGUAAACCGCUUUCGCCUGUGACGAAGCGUGAGUGACGGUAAUGGGUAAAGAAGCACCGGCUAACUACGUG